This 250-nucleotide ribosomal RNA is filed under the name uncultured bacterium. RNAcentral's name for it is "partial 16S ribosomal RNA". It matches the Rfam family "Bacterial small subunit ribosomal RNA", at positions 524 to 773 of the family's 1533-position model. The record is from RNAcentral.
UACAGAGGGUGCGAGCGUUGUCCGGAAUCACUGGGCGUAAAGGGUGCGUAGGUGGCUUGGUAAGCGUGUGGUGAAAGUCCGGAACUCAACCCCGGAUCUGCCAUGCGAACUGCCGAGCUCGAGCAAUGUAGAAACAGGUGGAAUUUCGGGUGUAGCGGUGGAAUGCGUAGAGAUCCGAAAGAACACCAGUGGCGAAGGCGGCCUGCUGGGCAUUUGCUGACACUGAGGCACGACAGCAUGGGGAGCAAAC